GCGCCCAUAGCUCAGCUGGAUAGAGCGUCUGGCUUCGAACCAGAGGGUCGGCGGUUCGAAUCCGUCUGGGCGUACCC
This 77-nucleotide transfer RNA is filed under the name Sorangium sp. Its description in RNAcentral is "tRNA-Arg". It matches the Rfam family "tRNA". From Rfam's summary of the family: Transfer RNA (tRNA) molecules are approximately 80 nucleotides in length. Their secondary structure includes four short double-helical elements and three loops (D, anti-codon, and T loops). Further hydrogen bonds mediate the characteristic L-shaped molecular structure. tRNAs have two regions of fundamental functional importance: the anti-codon, which is responsible for specific mRNA codon recognition, and the 3' end, to which the tRNAs corresponding amino acid is attached (by aminoacyl-tRNA synthetases). tRNAs cope with the degeneracy of the genetic code in two manners: having more than one tRNA (with a specific anti-codon) for a particular amino acid; and 'wobble' base-pairing, i.e. permitting non-standard base-pairing at the 3rd anti-codon position. The record is from RNAcentral. Lineage: Bacteria; Pseudomonadati; Myxococcota; Polyangiales; Polyangiaceae.